CCUACGGGAGGCUGCAGUGAGGAAUAUUGGUCAAUGGGCGUAAGCCUGAACCAGCCAAGUCGCGUGAGGGAUGAAGGUUCUAUGGAUCGUAAACCUCUUUUAUAAGGGAAUAAAGUGCGGGACGUGUCCCGUUUUGUAUGUACCUUGUGAAUAAGGAUCGGCUAACUCCGGGCCAGCAGCCGCGGUAAUACGGAGGAUCCGAUCGUUAUCCGGCUUUAUUGGGUUUAAAGGGUGCGUAGGCGGCCUUUUAAGUCAGCGGGGAAAGUUUGUGGCUCAACCAUAGAAUUGCCGUUGAAACUGGGAGGCUUGAGUAUGUUUGAGGCAGGCGGAAUGCGUGGUGUAGCGGUGAAAUGCUUAGAUAUCACGCAGAACCCCGAUUGCGAAGGCAGCCUGCCAAGCCAUGACUGACGCUGAGGCACGAAAGCGUGGGGAUCAAACAGGAUUAGAUACCCUUGUAGUC
This 460-nucleotide ribosomal RNA is filed under the name uncultured bacterium. RNAcentral's name for it is "partial 16S ribosomal RNA". It matches the Rfam family "Bacterial small subunit ribosomal RNA", at positions 338 to 795 of the family's 1533-position model. The record is from RNAcentral.